RNAcentral lists this long non-coding RNA (7790 nucleotides) under Lactuca sativa (garden lettuce). RNAcentral's name for it is "long non-coding RNA (LSAT_LNC008184)". Lineage: Eukaryota; Viridiplantae; Streptophyta; Magnoliopsida; Asterales; Asteraceae. The record is from RNAcentral.
GAGCAUUAGUUUAAGCGAACUAGGAAUUUGUAGGAUUUCUAGACUUAAACUUAGAAUGCUAAGUGAAGUUUUGAGAUGUGUGUCUGUUGUGAUUUAGACACGAGCACUAGUUUAUUUUAGGAAAGUUGCCUAAAAUGCUUUAUGUGCUAAAUGUUAUAUGUUGCCAUAUAUGAUAUUAUUUGUUCGGAUCUAUGGUCUGUUGCCGACCGGAUCUAGAAACCUUAUGUGUGUAGGAUUCUAAGCGUACGUCUACGAUAUUAGAACUAGCAUGUAAACGUUUCGGAGUGAUAAGGAUGAUUUGAAUAUCUAUCAUGAUUGAGGAUCUAAUUUCACCUUAUUCGGUGUAGAUCAAAAUGGUGAGAACAAGAAGUGGAGUUGGAAAUGCUGACGAAAACAGGAAUCAACCACCAGUGAUUGAGCCAAUACCUGUCGUAGCAGCAGCACCUGAGCCAAUAACCAUGGCUGGUGUGCAAUUGAUGAUUCAGACGAUGUUGGAUCGUCAGAUGGAUGAAACUAGACGGUUGCUUCAACAAAAUCGUGAAGAACUGUCGAUUCGUGUGGAAGAGCCUGAACUGAAUGAAGGGCACUCGGAAGGUGGAAACUUCAGUGGGUCUGUUGGUCCAGCCAACCCACCGAUAGUUAGGCAAGAUAACCAUGAUGGAAGGAAUGAUGGAAUGGGAUGCAAGUACAAGGACUUUUUGACUUGUAAACCAUCGACCUUCAAUGGAAAGGAGGAUCCGAUUGGGGUUAUGGAUUGGAUCUCCGAAAUGGAGUUAGCCUUUAUGACAUGUGGCUGUAGAGGCAAGUUGCAGACUAUCUAUGCCGUGCGACAAUUCCGAGGUGGAGCCGUUCGUUGGUGGAACACUCUAGGGAAGACCUUAAGCCCUAAUGAGCCACUGCAAUUGUCAUGGGCAGAGUUCUUGGUGCAGUUCAAGCGCAAGUUCUGCUCGGCUCAAAAUCUGUUGGAGUUGGAGAACAAGUUUUUGACAUUGACGAAGGGUAGCAUGUCAGUGGAUGAGUACACCAAUAACUUCACCGAUAAGAUGGAGUUUGCCUUGCGUAUCGUUCCAGACGAGCUGACAAAGGUGGAUCGGUAUGCGAAGGGACUUCCAUGGGAGUACGAGGUGCCGGUACGUCAGGCACUUACUCUAGAGGCAGCUAUCUGGGCUGCCAAGUCUGUGGAGAACAUGAUCAAGGGGAGAACCACCGUCAAGGUUGAGGUUGGUGAGAAAAGGAAGUUUGAAGGAACAUCUGGUUCCAGUAAGAAGAGCAAAUUUUCGAAAUCUGAUUCGAAAAAGUUUGGAGGAAAAGGAGGCGAAGCAAAGUGGUGUGAUAAGUGUAAGAAAAAGCACUUUGGGAAAUGUAGCGAGGAUGUGACCUGCUACAAGUGUGGAAAGGUUGGACAUUUUGCCAAUGAAUGUCCGAACAACAAAAGGAUGUGUUUUGGGUGUAAUGAAGAGGGGCAUAUUUUGAAAGACUGUCCGAAGAAGAAGGAGGCAGCUAGGCCCAACAUUCCACCAAAGCCGAAGGCGAGAGCCUUCCAGAUGACACUUGAGGCUGCGAAAGAUGAAGCUGAUGUCGCUUCAGGUACCUUUCUCGUAAACGAAUUACCUGCUCAUAUAUUGUUUGAUUCUGGAGCCAACUACUCCUUUAUUUCGCAUGAGUUUGGUAGAAAGCUAGCUUUGCCUGUUGAUAGACUAGAUAAUGCUUUAUUAGUCGAAGUAGCUAGUGGCAAGUUUGUACCUGUUAGCCAUCGUAUGAAAAACGUCUUGAUCGACCUUAAUGGGAAUAAGUUUCUCGAGGAAUUAUUGCCUAUCGAACUAAAUGGUUUCGACAUCGUCUUGGGAAUGGAUUGGCUUAGCGCCAAUGAUGCCGAAAUUUUGUGCAAGAAGAAGAUAGUUAAAGUAAACCCGCCUGGGAAAGAUUCGUUUAUGGUGUAUGGGGACAAACGCAGAGUGAAUUCUGGAAUCAUUUCUCUAAUGAAAGCCAGAAAGUGUUUGACCAAGGGAUGUACAUCAUAUUUAGCAUUCGUGAUUGAUGCUAAGAAAGAAAAGAAGGUGAUGCAGAGCAUUCCAGUGGUGUGUGAUUAUCCGGAAGUAUUUCCCGAGGAUCUUCCUGGAUUACCACCUGAUAGACAAGUGGAGUUCAGAAUAGACUUGUUACCAGGAACCACGCCAAUAGCAAAAGCACCUUAUCGAUUAGCACCGACGGAGAUGAAGGAGCUGAUGAUGCAACUUCAGGAGUUAUUGGACAAAGGUUUCAUUAGACCUAGUUCAUCGCCCUGGGGAGCUCCGGUGUUAUUUGUAAAGAAGAAAGAUGGAAGUAUGAGAAUGUGCAUCGAUUACAGAGAGCUGAACAAGGCAACAAUAAAGAAUAGAUAUCCGUUGCCGAGGAUUGAUGACCUGUUUGAUCAAUUGCAAGGUUCGAGCUAUUUCUCGAAGAUCGAUCUUAGGUCAGGAUAUCAUCAGCUGAAAGUAAGAGAGCAAGAUAUCGAGAAGACUGCAUUCAGAACUAGAUAUGGACACUACGAGUUCUUGGUUAUGUCGUUUGGACUAACCAAUGCUCCAGCAGCGUUCAUGGAUUUGAUGAAUAGGGUUUGUAAUCCUUUCCUUGAUAAAUCCGUGAUAGUGUUCAUAGACGACAUUCUGAUCUACUCGAAAAGCCAGGAGGAGCAUGGCAGACACUUGCGAGAAGUGUUAGAAGUUUUGAAGAAGGAGAAGCUUUAUGCGAAGUUCUCCAAAUGUGAUUUUUGGAUUCGUGAGGUCCAAUUCUUGGGUCACGUGGUCAACCAAGAAGGGAUAAUGGUUGAUCCAGCGAAGAUCGAAGCUGUGACGAAGUGGGAACAACCGAAAAGUCCCACGGAGAUUCGAAGCUUUUUAGGAUUAGCCGGAUAUUACCGAAGGUUUAUCCAAGGCUUUUCUUCGAUUGCUACUCCAUUAACAGCUUUGACCCACAAAGGAGCUACUUAUGCUUGGAGUGAGAAGCAUAAAGAAGCAUUCGAGAAGUUAAAGAAGAAGCUAUGCGAGGCACCGAUACUUUCUCUACCCGAUGGAGUUGAAGACUUCGCUGUUUAUAGCGAUGCGUCUGGUGUUGGAUUGGGUUGUGUUUUGACCCAAAGAGAAAAGGUGAUAGCAUAUGCGUCUCGACAGCUGAAAGAGCAUGAAAAGAAUUACCCGACUCAUGAUUUGGAGUUGGCAGCGGUAGUUUUCGCUCUGAAAAUAUGGAGGCAUUACCUCUAUGGCACGAAGUGCAAACUUUUCACUGAUCAUAAGAGUCUCCAAUACCUCUUUAAUCAGAAAGAAUUGAAUAUGAGGCAACGACGCUGGCUAGAAUUACUUAAAGACUACGACUGCGAGAUACUUUACCACCCCGGUAAAGCUAAUGUUGUUGCUGAUGCUCUCAGUCGGAAAGUCAAUCUUGAAAGGAAGAGGCCAAGAGCGUUGAGAAUUGAAGUUGUCUCGACUAUUGUGGAAAGUAUAAAGAAAGCUCAAGAGGAAGCUUCUGAGAAAAAUGACCGAAAGGAGGAACGUUUGGGUAAAACGUUGGUGUUUGGUACUAACGGUCAUGGACUGAAGGUAUUCCAAGAUCGUAUUUGGGUACCUAAGUCAGGAGGAAUUAGGGAUCUUCUGAUGGAAGAAGCUCACAAAACCAUGUACUCAAUUCAUCCGGGUAGCACUAAAAUGUAUAGGGACCUGAAACCCUACUACUGGUGGCCGACGAUGAAGCUUGAUGUUGCAAAGUAUGUGGCCGAGUGUGUGACUUGUGCGAGAGUCAAGACACAACAUCAGAAACCUUACGGGAGUUUAGAACCAUUGCCUGUGCCUAUGGGUAAGUGGGAAGACAUUGCUAUGGAUUUUGUCACUAAACUGCCCAGAACAAAGAAUGGUCACGACAUGAUUUGGGUGGUCGUUGAUCGAUUCACUAAGAGUGCGCAUUUCAUAGCGGCCAGGGAGAAAUGGUCUAUGGAAAAGCUUGCGAAUUCUUACGUGAAGGAAAUUGUGAGGCUUCACGGUGUUCCGUUAACGAUUGUAUCGGAUCGUGAUAGCCGUUUCACCUCAAGGUUUUGGAAAAGUCUACAAGAGGAAAUGGGUACCAAGUUAUGUUUAAGCACAGCUUACCAUCCGCAGACUGAUGGUCAGAGUGAAAGAACAAUACAAACACUUGAAGAUAUGCUGAGAGCAUGUACCUUGGAAUUCCUAGGUAAUUGGGAUGAACAUUUACCGUUGGUAGAAUUUUCCUAUAAUAAUAGUUUUCACUCGAGCAUUAAGAUGGCACCUUAUCAAGCUUUGUAUGGACAGAAGUGUCGUACGCCGUCUUGUUGGCUUGAGGCUGGGGAAAAGCAGUUUAUGGGACCGGAGAUGGUUCAUCAAACUGCUGAAAAGUUGAAAAUAAUUAGGGAAAGAAUGUUAGCAGCUCAAGAUCGUCAAAAGAGCUAUGCUGACAAGAAGCGAAGACCGAUGACUUUUGAGGUUGGAGAUUCGGUUUUGCUUAAAGUCUCGCCGUGGAAGGGACUUAUAAGAUUUGGUAAAAGGGGAAAGUUGAGUCCAAGGUUUAUUGGACCGUUUAAAGUCCUUCAGAGGAUUGGGAAUCAAGCUUACAAGCUCGAAUUACCCGAAGAACUGAAUGGAAUUCACAACACCUUUCAUGUGUGUUAUUUGAGGAAGUUCACGGGAGAAGUUCCCGAUAUAAUUCCAAUUUCUGAAUUGAGAAUUGAUGAGAACAAAAGGUUGAUUGAAGAACCAGAGGCAAUUGUUGACCGAAAGACUAAGAAGUUGCGACGCAAAAUGGUUGGGUUAGUGCUUGUCCGAUGGAAACACACGAAUGGGCCGAAUCUCACCUGGGAGACGGAGAGUGACAUGUUGAGUCGCUAUCCGCAUUUGUUUGUUGAUGUGUGAUUCCGGGGACGGAAUCAUUCUAAGGUGGAGAGAAUUGUAACGCCUGUGUUUCCGGGCUUGCCAUUUUUAGCAAUGUAAUAGUCUAGGUUAACCUUUGUAACCCGUUUUGAAAUAAUAAGAUUGUAUUAUUUGAGUAUUAUGUGUUUUGUGCUUAAUUGCUUAAUUAUGUGGUUUGAUUAAUUAAGAAUAAAAAUAAGCGUCAAAAUUUAAGUGUAAAAUAAACUUAAUAUCUUUGGUUAAUGUUGUAGUAGUUGAAACGAGGUUUCCGAAUAUAUAUAGAACGCCCAAAUCUGACUUCGUAUGAGGAAGUUAUGAUUUAUCGAAGUUCCGGCUUAGCGAUAUACAGCCUGUUUUACUCGAUUUGAGAUCGAGCGGUUGUUAGCCGAAGCAAUCUAAAUGAGAAUCGAAGAUCUCAUUGUUGGUAUUGAAACGAUAAAAAGUUAGGCGAGAACGGACGUCAAACGAAGAAGUUAUGAAUUUAUAACGAAAGUUUCUGUCCCGGCCUAUUAAAAAUAAUUAAUAAAAAUAAAGUCAAAAUUAGCCGACGGAGUCUAAACGAAAGUCGUAGAGCGUGGUCUCACCUUCGCGUGGAUAUAAAGAACGUCGAAAACGGAGUUCGUAUGAAGAAGUUAUGAAUUUCCGAAGUUUAUUAAUCAUUUUGUAUUUAUUUUUAAUUCAAAAUUCGGAAGCAUUAUCCGAAGGAGUCACCGAUCUGAUCCGAGGUACGCCCCGCGUACUCGAGUACGCCCCGCGUACUCCGAGGGAUGUCGACACUCGCACUCGAGCACUUCGGAUACGUAAGCAAUGACGUUUUGGGCAGUACGCCCCGCGUAACGCAGUACGCCCCGCGUACUCCGAGGCUCCAGCCUCCUAUAAAUAGGAUGCGAGGGUUCCGGGUAUUUUUGCCAAUUCCCUCUCGUUUUCGUGUCGAAGCUCUGUGCAAAAACCCCCGAAGCUACCCCGAAGUCCCGGUAUCAUACUCUAGCCCCGAGGCAAGUCCCGAGAUCCUGAAGAUCCCGAAAAGUGCGGUUCCCGAGUCGAAGCUCUGCCCGCGAGAAGUUCGAUUUUCGAGAAGAUCUUCCAGAUCUGCUGUGGAUUACUACUUCUAUAAGCCGUAGUGCUGUCCGAUCAUCUUCUGAUCAAGUGAGUGUGUAGUUAUUUCUUCUAAUACAAUAAUACGAAGUAUUUUAUAUAAAAAUACGUGCUAUGUGUAUAUAUUUGGUUGUGUUAUGUGUGAAUGAGUAUUCACUCUCUUCUAUCUUAUAGAUCUGCUUAUUUCUUUAUGAGAUAUGUGUUAUGUGUGUGUGUGCCUCAUCUGUUAUGUGAUAUAUGUGUUGAUUAAAGCAUGCUAUACAGGUUUUCUUUAAACUAUGUAUACAAAUGUAUAUUUUUAUCUACUAAUAUGUUGGGUAGAACAUGGGUAGACAGUUGGUGUGUAAUAAACAGAUGAGAGGCCUCGUUGUUGUUUGAUUGAGUCAUCUAGCGGAGUUUAGAUGACGACCACUGGCUAUUCUAGACAGUCUUGUGGAAACAUUAGCAGGUUCGCCACCUGUAGGUGUUAAUGAACUUGGGUGUUCAUUCGCUGUACUCCAUCCCCCUCAUGGUUGCCUUAUUUGACUUAUAUUGCUGAGGUACCCCCGAAGCAUGUGUUGUCGCCCCGAUGAAAUAUUCUUAGACUAGGUCCCUUAUGUUAGUUGUUUUAGGGACAUUAAAGUGAGAAUAACGGGAAUGGGUAAUUGGGUUAUUGUUGGUUGGUGAAAAUUAAAUAUGAUAUUUAUUGUGGGUUGAAAACCCUAUAUGCUCACCAGGCUCCCAAGCCUGACCCACUCAGUUUUAAAUUGUAUUACAGGUAGUGGCGGAAGGGCAUGAGAUGGAUGAACCAUCAAGUUGUUUUGUUUACAAGUCUGCAUAUGUUUAUAUUUGUUAUAUGACUUGUAAUGUAUUCGUUUAUGCUUAUUGGUCUGUAUCGGAACAUGACACCCCGAGUUUUGAUUAUAAUGAAAAUACAUUUCUUUUAUGAAAUGCUUCGGUAAACAAUGUUUUAUCAUGUUUUGUUUUUGGGAACAAAUUCCGCAACUCUUUCAAAUCAAAAGGAUUUACUCUGAAAAUAUUUAAAAGCAUAAAUGAAAAUCGGUCUUUUCUGGCCGAGAUUUUGGGGAUGUCACAGUUGGUAUCAGAGCAUUAGUUUAAGCGAACUAGGAAUUUGUAGGAUUUCUAGACUUAAACUUAGAAUGCUAAGUGAAGUUUUGAGAUGUGUGUCUGUUGUGAUUUAGACACGAGCACUAGUUUAUUUUAGGAAAGUUGCCUAAAAUGCUUUAUGUGCUAAAUGUUAUAUGUUGCCAUAUAUGAUAUUAUUUGUUCGGAUCUAUGGUCUGUUGCCGACCGGAUCUAGAAACCUUAUGUGUGUAGGAUUCUAAGCGUACGUCUACGAUAUUAGAACUAGCAUGUAAACGUUUCGGAGUGAUAAGGAUGAUUUGAAUAUCUAUCAUGAUUGAGGAUCUAAUUUCACCUUAUUUGGUGUGUAGAUCAAAAUGGUGAGAACAAGAAGUGGAGUUGGAAAUGCUGACGAAAACAGGAAUCAACCACCAGUGAUUGAGCCAAUACCUGUCGUAGCAGCAGCACCUGAGCCAAUAACCAUGGCUGGUGUGCAAUUGAUGAUUCAGACGAUGUUGGAUCGUCAGAUGGAUGAAACUAGACGGUUGCUUCAACAAAAUCGUGAAGAACUGUCGAUUUGUGUGGAAGAGCCUGAAUUAAAUGAAGGGCACUCAGAAGGAGGAAUGAGAUGAUGUUUCUUGCCACAUCUGGCGAAUAGCAACAAUUGUUUAAAUCUAAUCCUAAUCCACUAUUAAGCAUUAAAGAGUAAAUUCCGAUCUUGGUGACAGGUGAUGAUCUUCU